GACAAGUGUGUGUGUGUGUGUGUGUGUGUGUGUACGUACGUGUACACACAUACACAUAUACAUACACACAUUUCAU
Molecule: microRNA precursor, 76 nt
Filed under: Podarcis lilfordi (Lilford's wall lizard)
Lineage: Eukaryota; Metazoa; Chordata; Lepidosauria; Squamata; Lacertidae
Source: RNAcentral